GAUGAACGCUGGCGGCGUGCCUAAUACAUGCAAGUCGAGCGAACAGACGAGGAGCUUGCUCCUCUGACGUUAGCGGCGGACGGGUGAGUAACACGUGGAUAACCUACCUAUAAGACUGGGAUAACUUCGGGAAACCGGAGCUAAUACCGGAUAAUAUAUUGAACCGCAUGGUUCAAUAGUGAAAGACGGUUUUGCUGUCACUUAUAGAUGGAUCCGCGCCGCAUUAGCUAGUUGGUAAGGUAACGGCUUACCAAGGCGACGAUGCGUAGCCGACCUGAGAGGGUGAUCGGCCACACUGGAACUGAGACACGGUCCAGACUCCUGCGGGAGGCAGCAGUAGGGAAUCUUCCGCAAUGGGCGAAAGCUUGACGGAGCAACGCCGCGUGAGUGAUGAAGGUCUUCGGAUCGUAAAACUCUGUUAUUAGGGAAGAACAAAUGUGUAAGUAACUAUGCACGUCUUGACGGUACCUAAUCAGAAAGCCACGGCUAACUACGUG
Molecule: ribosomal RNA, 497 nt
Filed under: uncultured bacterium
Lineage: Bacteria
Description: partial 16S ribosomal RNA
Rfam family: Bacterial small subunit ribosomal RNA
Source: RNAcentral